Molecule: ribosomal RNA, 402 nt
Filed under: uncultured bacterium
Lineage: Bacteria
Description: bacterial SSU rRNA
Rfam family: Bacterial small subunit ribosomal RNA
Source: RNAcentral
AACGAACGCUGGCGGCAUGCCUAACACAUGCAAGUCGAACGAGACCUUCGGGUCUAGUGGCGCACGGGUGCGUAACGCGUGGGAACCUGCCUUUAGGUUCGGAAUAACUCAGAGAAAUUUGAGCUAAUACCGGAUGAUGUCUUCGGACCAAAGAUUUAUCGCCUUUAGAUGGGCCCGCGUAAGAUUAGCUAGUUGGUGGGUAAAGCCUACCAAGGCGACGAUCUUUAGCUGGUCUGAGAGGAUGAUCAGCCACACUGGGACUGAGACACGGCCCAGACUCCUACGGAGGCAGCAGUGGGGAAUAUUGGACAAUGGGCGAAAGCCUGAUCCAGCAAUGCCGCGUGAGUGAUGAAGGCCUUAGGGUGUAAAGCNCUUUUUACCCGAGAUGAUAAUGACAGUAUC